GGGGGGGGGGGGGGGGGGGCGGGGGGGGGGGGGGGCGGGGGGGGGCAGGGGAGGAGCGGGCGCGUGCGGGUGGCGAGGGGCGGACGGGUGAGGAAUACAUCGGAAUCUACUUUGUCGUGGGGGAUAACGUAGGGAAACGGACGCUAAUACCGCAUACGACCUACGGGUGAAAGCAGGGGAUCUUCGGGCCUUGCGCGACUGAAUGAGCCGAUGUCGGAUUAGCUAGUUGGCGGGGUAAAGGCCCACCAAGGCGACGAUCCGUAGCUGGUCUGAGAGGAUGAUCAGCCACACUGGAACUGAGACACGGUCCAGACUCCUACGGGAGGCAGCAGUGGGGAAUAUUGGACAAUGGGCGCAAGCCUGAUCCAGCCAUACCGCGUGGGUGAAGAAGGCCUUCGGGUUGUAAAGCCCUUUUGUUGGGAAAGAAAAGCAGCAGGUUAAUACCCCGCUGUUCUGACGGUACCCAAAGAAUAAGCACCGGCUAACUUCGUG
Molecule: ribosomal RNA, 492 nt
Filed under: uncultured bacterium
Lineage: Bacteria
Description: partial 16S ribosomal RNA
Rfam family: Bacterial small subunit ribosomal RNA (bases 56-492)
Source: RNAcentral